ACACUGUAAUUACGCAACAGAGUCGUUAAUUCUUAUCAGCGUUUUUCUUUUAUAUUUGCACGUACAUUUACAUGCAUACGGUAGCACCGAAGAUUGCGUUAAUUGUUUAGGGCGUUUAGGUGAUCGUGUAACAGCUGAAAAUUUAUGCACUUAUUAACUUUAUGGACUUUUGCACGAGAAAACGUUUUUACCACCUCGAAUAAAUUAAGUUCUUACGAUGAUAAUCGUUACUUUCUUUGAGUACGACUACUGCACGAAGUGUACUUAAAAGUUUUUCGUUUCUAGUAGAUCUUUUUUCCUCGUUUUUUGUAUUAAAUUUCGGUAUUUUCAUUUUUGUUCGUACAGGUGGGCGAGCGAGUCGUAUCUUUAGUUGGUCAUAGCCGUCAUAUGAACAUUUUAAGUGCCGUUUAAUCGGCGAUAUUUUAGCGUGUCAGGCUGGGGGCUGUAACUAUGUCUUGGACCUUUGGAUUAAACAGUACAAGCCGGACGUUGUCGGGGAAAUGAAUCCAUACUUUUUCAACUUUGUGACGGUUGCGACCCCGAUACUCGCUUGUGCAAAUUGGUAUUAGCUACCGAUUAGGGAAAUGAAAGCUACCGAUGUUCGUCGAUAAGUAGAACUUCCUCGGUCCUUUUCAUGGAAAGAAGAGUUCUCUGACGUGGCACCUUUUGAUUUCCUUCUAUCUAGUGGAUU
Temnothorax curvispinosus is the source of this 691-nucleotide long non-coding RNA. RefSeq lists it as uncharacterized. The record is from RefSeq and is a predicted model, not a curated record. Lineage: Eukaryota; Metazoa; Arthropoda; Insecta; Hymenoptera; Formicidae. The transcript has 2 exons.